Molecule: ribosomal RNA, 389 nt
Filed under: Aglaia abbreviata
Lineage: Eukaryota; Viridiplantae; Streptophyta; Magnoliopsida; Sapindales; Meliaceae
Description: eukaryotic LSU rRNA
Rfam family: Eukaryotic large subunit ribosomal RNA (bases 280-389)
Source: RNAcentral
ACGCAAGUUGCGCCCCAAGCCGUUAGGCUGAGGGCACGUCUGCCUGGGUGUCACGCAUCGUUGCCCCCCAAAACCCCCCCCGGGGGAUCGUUGGGCGGCGGAAACUGGCCUCCCGUGCGCUGCCAGCUCGCGGUUGGCCCAAAUUCGAGCCCCGAGGCGACCGUGCCGCGACGAUCGGUGGUGAAAUGAGCCUCUCGAACUCCCGUCGCCGGCUCGCGUCCUCUGUUGCGGGCUCGCGGACCCUUCGAGCGCCUUCUAUCUCUGGCGCUGCUAGCUUUGCGACCCCAGGUCAGGCGGGACUACCCGCUGAGUUUAAGCAUAUCAAUAAGCGGAGGAAAAGAAACUUACCAGGAUUCCCUUAGUAACGGCGAGCGAACCGGGAAGAGCCC